Molecule: transfer RNA, 64 nt
Filed under: Diartiger fossulatus
Lineage: Eukaryota; Metazoa; Arthropoda; Insecta; Coleoptera; Staphylinidae
Description: tRNA-Leu
Source: RNAcentral
UCUAAUAUGGCAGAAUAGUGCAACGAAUUUAAACCUCGUAAAUAAACUUACCAUUUUUUUAGAA